UGGCUCAGAGCGAACGCUGGCGGCAGGCUUAACACAUGCAAGUCGAGCGGGCGUAGCAAUACGUCAGCGGCAGACGGGUGAGUAACGCGUGGGAACGUACCUUUUGGUUCGGAACAACACAGGGAAACUUGUGCUAAUACCGGAUAAGCCCUUACGGGGAAAGAUUUAUCGCCGAAAGAUCGGCCCGCGUCUGAUUAGCUAGUUGGUGAGGUAAUGGCUCACCAAGGCGACGAUCAGUAGCUGGUCUGAGAGGAUGAUCAGCCACAUUGGGACUGAGACACGGCCCAAACUCCUACGGGAGGCAGCAGUGGGGAAUAUUGGACAAUGGGGGCAACCCUGAUCCAGCCAUGCCGCGUGAGKGAUGAAGGCCCUAGGGUUGUAAAGCUCUUUUGUGCGGGAAGAUAAUGACGGUACCGCAAG
This 420-nucleotide ribosomal RNA is filed under the name Bradyrhizobium japonicum. Its description in RNAcentral is "bacterial SSU rRNA". It matches the Rfam family "Bacterial small subunit ribosomal RNA", at positions 20 to 484 of the family's 1533-position model. Lineage: Bacteria; Pseudomonadati; Pseudomonadota; Alphaproteobacteria; Hyphomicrobiales; Nitrobacteraceae. The record is from RNAcentral.